UACGGAGGGGGCUAGCGUUGUUCGGAAUCACUGGGCGUAAAGCGUACGUAGGCGGAUUGCCAAGUUGGAGGUGAAAGCCCAGGGCUUAACCCUGGAACUGCCUUCAAAACUGGCGAUCUAGAGGAUGGUAGAGGUGAGUGGAAUUCCGAGUGUAGAGGUGAAAUUCGUAGAUAUUCGGAAGAACACCAGUGGCGAAGGCGGCUCACUGGACCAUUACUGACGCUGAGGUACGAAAGCGUGGGGAGCAAACAGG
This 253-nucleotide ribosomal RNA is filed under the name uncultured bacterium. RNAcentral describes it as "partial 16S ribosomal RNA". It matches the Rfam family "Bacterial small subunit ribosomal RNA", at positions 524 to 776 of the family's 1533-position model. The record is from RNAcentral.